UCUGGGUCGCAUGCUACGCCCGAAUGGCAGGCUUCAGUGGUCUUAAUGGCUCUGGGUUGCUUAGGGAUUGUGGUCGUGUAACCUUUCUGCCGUGUCUGUUUCGACAGGUGCUGGUUUCGGCUGGCAUGCUUUCGGGUGCCUUUAAACGGGUGUCCGGAGCAGACGGCACGUUUACUUUGAACAAAUUUGAGUGCUCAAAGCAGGCCGUAGUGCCUGAAAAGUCUUGCAUGGAAUAAUGAAAUAGGACUUCGGUUCUAUUUUGUUGGUUUUCGGAUCCGAAGUAAU
Molecule: ribosomal RNA, 285 nt
Filed under: Thulinia microrchis
Lineage: Eukaryota; Metazoa; Platyhelminthes; Trematoda
Description: partial small subunit ribosomal RNA
Rfam family: Eukaryotic small subunit ribosomal RNA (bases 165-285)
Source: RNAcentral